CUAACACUGUGGCAUGUCCCCUUUCUUCUACACUCACUACAGACCUCUUUUCUCUGUCUCAGACUAUAUACCAGGAACUUCUGCCUGCUAGUAAGAAGGUAAGGAGACAAGUGGACCAGCGAGUGCUAGGGGACAGUCUUUUGAAAGAAUGGAGUGAGCGCAUCAUUAGAUGCAUUUAUGUCAAGCUCAAGGUGCUGCCUGCAUAGUAUGCCCUUAGUUGGAC
This 223-nucleotide long non-coding RNA is filed under the name Pelobates cultripes (western spadefoot toad). Lineage: Eukaryota; Metazoa; Chordata; Amphibia; Anura; Pelobatidae. The record is from RNAcentral.